This 253-nucleotide ribosomal RNA is filed under the name uncultured bacterium. Its description in RNAcentral is "partial 16S ribosomal RNA". It matches the Rfam family "Bacterial small subunit ribosomal RNA", at positions 524 to 776 of the family's 1533-position model. The record is from RNAcentral.
UACGUAGGGGGCAAGCGUUGUCCGGAUUUAUUGGGCGUAAAGAGCGUGUAGGCGGCCAGGUAGGUCUGCUGUGAAAACUCGAGGCUCAACCUCGAGACGUCGGUUGAAACCAUCUGGCUAGAGUCCGGAAGAGGAGUGUGGAAUUCCCGGUGUAGCGGUGAAAUGCGCAGAUAUCGGGAAGAACACCCGUGGCGAAGGCGGCACUCUGGGACGGUACUGACGCUGAGACGCGAAAGCGUGGGGAGCGAACAGG